This 35-nucleotide small RNA is filed under the name Arabidopsis thaliana (thale cress). RNAcentral's name for it is "ATSL185580". The record is from RNAcentral. Lineage: Eukaryota; Viridiplantae; Streptophyta; Magnoliopsida; Brassicales; Brassicaceae.
AAGGAAGGAAGCGAAGAAGAAGAAGAAGAAACAAU